This 203-nucleotide long non-coding RNA is filed under the name Mytilus galloprovincialis (Mediterranean mussel). Lineage: Eukaryota; Metazoa; Mollusca; Bivalvia; Mytilida; Mytilidae. The record is from RNAcentral.
AGGUGACAAUCGGUAAACUUCGGCUUUAAAACACGGCAUUUAAUGAGCAGCCAUAUUUGUUAAAUCAUAACAGACAGAGAGAAAAAAAAUGACUAUUAUACGAUAUAUUUGCGUAAAAAAUGACAAAAUCGUGCACAGAGUUCUAAGUUUAUGAUAUAUACAUGCAUUGGUUCAAGAAUUGGAUAAACAUUAUUUUUCACAAC